This is an RNA transcript of Sus scrofa (pig), 8961 nucleotides long. It is a transcript of the gene named gastrin releasing peptide receptor, with no coding region annotated. The record is from RefSeq and is marked provisional. NCBI's taxonomy places the organism in Eukaryota, Metazoa, Chordata, Mammalia, Artiodactyla, Suidae.
UGAAGUGAUCCCGGCAUUACAGGAUCUGGAUAUAGUCACCUGUCUCUUUUGUUCCUGCUGCAGCACUAAAAUUUGACAUCUCUGAUUCUUCUCAAGCAAGGGUUGCUGCAGUCUUUUCAGCAGCUUCUCCGUGGUGCUGCCACAAAUAGAAUAUUGAAAUCAUGUUUGGUCCCCACUGACUUUCAGCACAUGACCCUUUCCUCAAAGCCUAGCUUCACUUGAUUCUCAGCGAUAUCUCUAUACGUUUAAACCAUUGUCAUUUGGCAUCCUGGUUCUCAGCCAGUUGUCUUAUUUACCUCUCUGCGCUCGUUUCCAUUGGCUUCCUUCCUUUCCCUUGUUCAUGUAGUGAACUCAGUACACCUGAACCCAGAUUCAGCAUUUCCCUCCAGAGUGCCCGCCCUCUUGCUCUUGCUGUUUAUUCUGAGUCACAAACCUUAAAAAAAAAAAAAAAAAAAAAAAUUACUGUCGAGCGUCUCCAUUGCUUGUAUUCUCUAUAUUUAUAAUGUGAUUCUGGCCCUUAUCUUAUGGCAAAAAGAGCUUAUCUGCCAUGCAGUCUGGGAAAAUUCCCAGCCAUUUCCAGGGAUGUCAAAAAAAGCCGCAAUUCAGGGAUUCUUCAUUCACUUUGGAAUUCAUCUGGUUGCUGGUUUCAUUCUGAACUUGAGAUUUCAGUUUCCUCUCUGGCCCCAGCUCCUGCUCUGGCUUCUUAACUUUUUCUGCCAGAGCUUCCUGACGCCUAGAUGGGCACUUUUCAGACAUUAACCAUGCAAGUGAAUCCCUGGAGAGCUUGUUAAAAUGCAGAUUAUGAUUCAGGAGGUCUGGGAUGGUGCCUGAGUUUCUGCAUUUCUGACGAGCUCUACAGUACUCCCCAUGCUGGGGGCUCAAGGACCACACUUUGGGUAUCAAGGGCCCCUAGCAACAAUCUCCUAAAUGCGCUUUCUUGCUCACCUGAUCCCUCUGCAGAAGGGACAGCGCAAGGACUGUCACGUUGCCAUGAUCUCUGGGUCGCGCACUGCCUGCAUUACUGGUCCCCAGCACUACAGAGGGCUGGAAUCCCUUUGGAUCCUCAUGAAAAUGACUGAUUCUUGGCUUCCAUCCCUGGAGAUCUGAUUCAGUAGAUCUGGGGUAUGGCUGCAGAAUCUUUAUUUUCAAGAAGCUUCUCCAGGAAAUCUUAGCGGUUUUGUUUGAUUGUUUGUUUUUAAAGAACCAGUGUUUUAUAAAUUCAAGUCCAACCAGAAACCGUAAAUGUAAAGUCUUCCCCGGCAGAUCCAAUCUCCUUUUUGUCUCAUUUAUUACUUCUCUCCACAGCUUUGUUCCAGGCACACUGUGUUUCAAACAGACCCAAAGCAUCCCCUUCUCUUGACUCUGGCUCCACCUGCAAAUUCUACCCACUCUAUAAUUAAUUUAGCUUUUCCGUGGAUGUUCACUGUCAGUCUACCAAGAAUGCCAGCUACUGGAAAAGAUCCAGUGCUAGGCACAUGGCUGGUGGGAGGAGACUUUGCCUCUAUUCUCUUUGGUCCUGUUGAGUCAACUCAUCCUCCCAAGUUCUACCAAAUAAUCGUGCCCCGCCCCCCCAGCUUUCUAGAAGAAUGGAAAAUGUGACUCUGUUGACUGAAACAGAAGUGACACUCCUGCCCUGACACAUAAGAAAGGAUGCUGAGUCACACUCCAAUUCUAUUCGGAAAUCGGAGUCCCUGAGGAAGGGGACCUUGCGUUAUGUUUGUUCUAUGCCAUUUUCCUAAGUCAAAGGCACCUCAUGCUCACCAUUAAAUAAAAAGCUAAGCAAAUGUCUAAGUGUGUUUGGUGAUCUGCCGGAAGGUGACACAUAAUGGUAAGGGUGGAAAGAGUCAUUGUACCUAAUUAGUUGACGUGAUAUCAGAAUUCUCUAAUUACCUUUUUAUUUAUUUAUUUUUUUUACAAGAGCAGAUAGGUUUUAAUCAUUUCAUCCAGUAAAUAUUUCGGGGGGGAGGAGGGCUCCAGACAACCACAUAUCCGCAUAUGCUGAAAAACAAACACUUUGGUGGCCAUGGUGUGGGGGUAUGGGCUCAGGGAGCAGGGACAGGUGUCAGGCAGAGACCUGACAGGUACUGGUUGCACUGACCCAGGUGGCUCUACUAGGACUACAGCUUUUUUUUUUUUUUUUCUUUUUUCUUUUCUUUCUUUUUUUUGGCUACACUCGCGCCAUGUGGAAGUUCCUGGGCAGGGAACCUGCGCCACAGCUGUAACCACAGCCACAACAGUGACAAUACCAGAUCCUUAAAACCCACUGAGCCGCCAGGGAACUCCAGGGCUAUGGCUUCUGAAGCCUCAAAUUUGUUCAAGCUCCACUUCCUGUCCUCCCGCCCCCCUCCCCAAUGCCAGCUCUUGCUGCCUGCCUUGCCCUGUUCAAGAGGAUGGUAUUUCUGGUGGGAUGGUCUCAGCCCUCCCCUGGAGAGUGAUGCCCACAUGGAGGCUUUUCAUGAAAACCUGUUUAAAGGCUGCAGAGUCCACGAGAGCAGAACACCGCUCAUCUUAUUCAGUGGUACCCUGAGCACCAGAUGCAAUGCCUGCCCUAAUUAACUUUUUAAAAUAUCCUUGCUCCCAGAAAAUAUUAGGUGUUGAACGGUCAGUAUAUCGUCACUCCUAAAAUACCAUCAGAACAGUCUAUAGUGCUGUGGGACAUGUAACACCAACACCAGCCAUGAGCAAUCACCCCUUUCAGCAUCAGUGUAACUUACGUGGAAGAAACACUAAGAGCCCACUUGAAUUUAAAAGAUGAGGUUGAUUCAACACACAGGGUAUCUAAAGAAAUAAGGGAAACAUCCGAGAGUCCUCUUUGUGAACCCAAAACAUGCCUUCUAGACCACACUUCUUAAGAAGCAUACAAGAGCCGUCGCAGACCCAGCCAAACCUGCCUCAAGCUGCAUUUAACACCGCUCUCUCCCACCUUCCCUCUUCCAAUCUGUAUGGCCUUUGUGCACUUGAAGCUGUCCCUGCUCAAUGCCGAGCCCUUUCCCUUAUGCUUCCAUCCUAGAUGCAUACUGUUUUCUCUCUUCAAAGGAUUCUGUCAAACACUUACAAAACCUUUAAGAUCCAAUGUCACCUUCUCUGGAGAAAAGGUAGUUACUUUAUUCUAGGGACAAGAUGGGGUCUAAAUGCUGCAGCUGUUUUUUGUUUUUGUUUUUGUUUUUUCUUUUUUGGUAAGCCAGAGUUUAUUUCUAUUUAAAUGAUACUCAAGGAACUUUCAGAGGGUUAAAAGGCCCAAAGAUACCUGGGUUUAAUAUAAUAUUAUCGCCAGGCUAUUGCUGCGUCUGUUUUGAAAUCCUCAGGACAACCCUGGGCAGUUCAAUGCUUCGCUAAUUCCUCUAGUCCAAGAGUGGUGAAUUUCUCUGGGAUUUGGUCUAAUUCAUACAAGCCCAGGCCGACCUCAUGGUGCAACGGUAGCGCAUCUGACACCAUGCAAGACUGUUCCUCCAGGACUGAUGACAAAAACUGUGCCAGAAGCAAUCACUGUCAUUGAGAGGAAGAAAGGUAGAUGAUCAGAGAAGAAAGCCAACACAAAAAGCAAUUUCAAGAAGGAGAAUUAUUAAUCUGGUAUGGAAAGAACAGAAGCCUUUGCAGAAUCUAUGCGAAAACCCUUCUCGUGUUGUUCUUUGAAACCAAGUCCUCUGGCUCUGAGCUUGAGUAGCUGGGAUCAGGAGGGGUCUUCUAAUAACAUGUAUCUUCACGUUCUUUUCCUCAGGCUCUUGCACACUGUCUGGAAACUGGCAGAUGUUCAAUAAAUGUCUUUCAAGUAAAUGGAGGGCUUGCUGAUUCACAUGUGAUAGGACCUUUUGUCUAUUGACCGGAGGUCAGUUGCUCUUCUGACUUUAUUGGGCUUUUCCAAAGUAAAAUCACAAAAACUCUCUCUCAUCACAACAAUAAGCAUAGUAAUAGCAGUUGAUAUUAAUUGAGUGCUUACUAUGUGCCAAAUACUAUGAAGUCUUAACAUGGCCAAUUUCAUUGAACUUCAUUUAACAAAUUAUCCCCACUUUACCCGUGAGGAGCUUGAAGCUUAAGACACCAAGUUAACUUGGCUAAGUAAUUUGCCAAGGGAGUGAAUAAGGGAGCCAGGACUUAAGCACAGAGUCCCUGUGUUAAGCUCUACAGCUAGCUACUCCUCAACACCACUAGGCUGAUAGUUAUUAACUCAUUACUGGCGGUACUGAUCUCCACUGAGAAGCUCUUCCCCCUCCAGGCAUGUAGCAUCAGAUUUACUGCUGGCCGAGGGGAGCACGAGCUCCUGGAUUUAUGGAAGGAGCAUGGCGGCCGCCUCGCCCCAGUGGUGUAAUCUGCUGUUGGAAAUUUCCAUGACAGCACACUUGGAGGCUUUCUUGGUGGGCCCUGGCAUGGUGAUGAGUGCAAGUUUCUUUAUUCCUUAUGGAUCCUGAAAAACCAGACUUUCAGUGGCUAUGCCUGCUAGUAACUGGCUUCCUGCGAUGGAUCUGGAAGAGCUGGCUCCUUGUAAGUCUUGAAGAUUCACACUUGAUAGUUUUAUACAUUGUUGCUGAAGGUCUAAGCUCAGAUCUAAGGUACCUCCUCAAAUAAGCCUUUCCUGGUCCCUGUCAAGUUAAAGUGCUUUCUUUCCACUCCCUCAUUCCUAGUUUUCUGUCUGUAACUCCUUUCCAGUUCAUUUCCCACUCAGAGCUUAGGAGGAAACUUGCUCUAAAACCUGGCAAGCAUUAAUUAAAAAUUGUAAAUAGCUGCAUCAAAAUGCCAAUUCAUGUACUUUUUUGUAUAGUGAGAGAAUACCCAUUCUUCUGGAAAAGACUAUGGAUCUGUGAGAGAUCAGCUGGCUGUUGAUUUUAUUUCUCUCUGGUAGAGGGAACAAGAAUGGCCUGACAAAUCCGCAGGACCGAGCGCAUGUGCCCUCUGCCUCUGGUUUUCCUAGCUGUCAGGUGCUGAAGGUUUAAGCAGGAGCCCUGUGCUUAUUUGCCCACAGUUGCAGUCCCCGUUCGGAUAGGCAGGGGGAAGGCUGAGUGGGCCCACGCACACGUGGACGCCCUGGGCAUCUGUGUGCAUUUAAUCCGGAGACAGACCUCAUUUCGUAGCAACCUUAACAUGUCAUUCGAAUGUACUGGAAAAGAGGAGAAAAGGGAAGGUGAGUCCCCUCUGGACCCGGAGCCUCGUCUCAGAAAGAUUUCCCGUGCUUUGCAGAGGGCCGGAACCCUUAGGAAAUACCUGCCAGGGGUUAUCCACUAAAGCUGCCCGCUAGCACCGGCAGACUGCAGGGGAUUCUCAUCGAGGCAGAGCAGGCGGCCGGGCAGUGAUUGAAGUGUCCAGCAGGGGGCUGGCAUUCUCUGUCUAUAAGUAGCCCUGCUUCCUUUCAGAGCCUCAGCUCAGCAGAGCUGCCGUUUGCUGGCGAAGCCGCUGACGUGCAAAGCACUCCUGCCUAUAGCAUUUGAGGCUUUCUCGGUGCAAUUUUUUUCUACCCACUUUAAACCUUCAGGUUCUCACUACCAAGAAAGACACGGGGAAUGCCGUGUGGCAAUAGCAGGGCCAAAGUUCUUAGUAAACUGCAGCCGGGGAGACUCAGAUGAGAAUGGAGGUAGAAAGAGUUGGUCCAGAGUGGGUUUGAUUCGAAGCCCCUUGGGGGCUGAGUUUUUGUGGUUGUUUUCUUGUGAACUUAUUGAAUUUAGAGAUGUAUUGCAUUGGUCACAUGAAGACCAGGGCAGCACCAGCGUCAAAAUAGUGACAGACAGUCUGAAUGCCAUCGUAGCUGUGUACUCAGAGUCUUUUUAUUAGAGAGGCUAAAGAGCCCGGCAUAGAUUUUCAUCCUCUUCUUCACCCAACUGCACAACCAAAAGUUCAGAAACGGCCUCUCAGGACACGUUUUAGGUGAGACCGAAUCUGGAGGAUGGCUCUGAAUGACUGUUUGCCUCUGAACUUGGAAGCGGACCGUUUCGUGCACUGCCACAUCUCUAAUCUCAGUGUGGAUCUCCCCACGAACGACGACUGGUUCCACCCCGGGGUCUUCUAUGUCAUCCCUGCCAUUUAUGGGGUCAUCAUUCUGAUAGGCCUCGUUGGCAACAUCACCCUGAUCAAGAUCUUCUGUACGGUGAAGUCCAUGCGCAACGUGCCCAAUCUCUUCAUCUCCAGCCUGGCUUUGGGGGACCUGCUCCUCCUGGUGACCUGUGCUCCCGUGGAUGCCAGCAGGUAUCUGGCCGACAGGUGGCUGUUCGGCAGGAUUGGCUGCAAGCUGAUUCCCUUUAUCCAGCUUACCUCGGUGGGGGUGUCUGUCUUCACGCUCACGGCUCUCUCCGCAGACAGGUACAAAGCCAUUGUGCGGCCAAUGGAUAUCCAGGCCUCUCAUGCCCUGAUGAAGAUCUGCCUCAAAGCCGCCCUGAUCUGGAUCAUCUCCAUGCUCCUGGCCAUCCCAGAGGCUGUGUUUUCUGACCUUCAUCCCUUCCACGAGGAAAGCACCAACCAGACCUUCAUUAGCUGUGCCCCGUACCCGCACUCGAAUGAGCUGCACCCCAAAAUCCACUCCAUGGCGUCCUUCCUGGUCUUCUACAUCAUCCCGCUGGCCAUCAUCUCUGUUUACUACUACUUCAUUGCCAAAAAUCUGAUCCAGAGCGCUUACAAUCUACCCGUGGAAGGGAAUAUACAUGUCAAGAAACAGAUCGAAUCCCGGAAGCGCCUCGCCAAGACAGUGCUGGUGUUCGUGGCUCUCUUUGCCUUCUGCUGGCUCCCCAACCAUGUCAUCUACCUGUACCGCUCCUACCACUACUCCGAGGUGGACACCUCCAUGCUCCACUUUGUCACCAGCAUCUGUGCCCGCCUCCUGGCCUUCACCAACUCCUGCGUGAACCCCUUUGCCCUCUACCUGCUGAGCAAGAGUUUCAGGAAACAGUUCAACACCCAGCUCCUCUGCUGCCGGCCCGGCCUGAUGACCCGGUCUCACAGCACCGCCAGAAGCACCACCUGCAUGACUUCCUUCAAGAGCACCAACCCCUCCGUGGCCACCUUCAGCCUCAUCAACGGAAACAUCUGUCACGAGGGGGCUCGAAUACCAAAGUUUGAGAGCCUCUGCUUUCUGGGAUAAUCCUAAUCAUCCGAGAGCAGGAAAGCAGCAAAGAGACGACACAACAACUGGCUGUCAAUGGGAGCUGUCCAUGCUCCCUGCGCCCUAGGUCAACAGCUGCUGGGCUGACCAAGUGCCUCCCGCAGCCUCAACGUCUGCUCCAGGACCCUGUAUUUUCCAUGACCCAGAAACUAGAGGAUCAGGCUCCCAGAGCAGGGGGUCUCUGGGGCUGGAUAGUGGCGGCCAUUCUGAUGGGUUUGGUACCCAGGUCAUGCCCAAGAUGUUAGAAUUUUGACCCUCAGCCCUGAAUCUGCCCAGCCACAUGUCACUGCCCUAGAAGGGCACUUCCCAGAGUCCCACCACUGUUUUUGGCCUUGGGAGACCUGAGGCAGGUGCAACCAGAUGUGUCAAACCCAACAUCCUAGGGAUUCAUGGAAGUGAGGACCUUGGUUGGAGGCUGAUGGACCCAGGUUCUCCAAGGAUCAAGAACUCUUAAUCAUAAUACUAGCAGGGAAAAACAGAAGCUUGACAAGAUCAGGAGUGCCUUUCUUUUCUAGGGUAAGAUUAAUAAACACCGUUAGAAAUCUCAAGAUAUCAAUGCAUUGAGGUUAUGCAGAGGGAUUUUGACAUCUCUCUUUUUUUAAACCUUGAAAUCUAUAUUGCAUAUAGAAAAGGAUAAUUAUGUGACCACCUGUGUUCCCACACAUAGCUUAAAAAAUAGAACAUGGGAGUUCCCAUAUGGCUCAGUGGUAAUGAACCCAACUAGUAUCCAUGAGGAUACGGGUUUGAUCCCUGGCCUUGCUCAGUGGGUUAAGGAUCCUGAGUUGCUGUGGCUGUGGCUUAGGCCAGCGACUGCAACUCCAAUUUAACCCCUAGCCUGGGAACUUCCAUAUGCUGCAGGUGCAGCCCUAAAAAGCCAAAAAAAAAAAAAAAAAAAAAAGCAGCACACAGCCAGUACCUCAACAACCCCCAGUGGCCCUUCCCCAUCGUCAGACCCCUUCCCACCGGCUAUGGAUUGAAUGACUCUGCCCUCCAAAAUGCAUGUGUUGAAGCCCAGGUGUCAUGGUGUUUGGAGGUGGGGCCUUUGGGGGAAGUAAUUAGGUCUUGGGGGUGGAGCCCUGAUGAAGGCUCCUUAAGAGAAGAGGAAGAGCACUAACCUCUCUCCAUUUUGUGAGGACCAACGAGAAUUCAGCCAUCAACAAGCCAGAAAGAGGGCCCCCACCAAGAACCAAAUCUGCUUCCACCUUGAUCUUGGACCUCCAGAACUGUGGGAAUUAAAUGUUUGUCGUUGAAGUGCCCUAGUCCAAGGUAAUUUGUUAUACCCUACCCCAGAGGUAACUACUACUCGUGUUACUUGUUUUCUUUGCUUUUCUCCAACUUUGAAUGUAUCCCUGAACGAUCUAAUCCUUCAUCAGUUUUGCCUGCUUUGGAACUUUAUACAAAUGGCACUCCGUUGGAGGUAAUCACCUGGGACAUGCUUUCUUGCCUCUACUGUGUUUGUGAUAUUCACCUGGAUCGGAGUAUGUGCUUCUAGUUUGUUCAUUCUCAUAGCUGUACCUCAUUCUGUUUUGGGCCAGUCUCAGCCUAUCAAUAACCAAUGCUGUGGUUGGACUGGCCCUUGUGGUUCUUAUUAUGAUUAUAAGAUGCCCUUCAGCAAUAACCACCAGGAAACUCUGAAAAAAUAAAGGUCUAUUACUUAGAAGAUCUGGAAAUUACACAGCACACCUGGAGUCACACAACAAGGUCAUGGGUAGAGAGAGAGGGAGGGAGAGAAAACACUGGCCUGGGGUUGUAUUUUUAUUAGGGUCAAGAUGGGAACCCUGGGGUUUUGAGGGCUCAGUCUUUAUUGCUGAUUUCCAAACCUAAGAGGGGGGAAUUUAAAGCACAUGAAGAAAAAAAAAAAAAAAAAAAAAAAAAAAAAA